GGUCCUGCUUGGUAUAUCCGCGAUGGGGGACCAUAUGUAUUCAGGGGUGAUCAUGCUUGAUGUAUUCGCGAUGGGUGAUCAUUGCCUGCACGACGAGAUUAUGAUUAUGGUUCUGCUAGGUAUAUCCACGAUGGGGGACCAUACGCAUUCUAGAUGAAUGAUAAUUAGUUGUACUUGGUAAAUUGGAUAGGCGAUCAUAUUCAGUUUGGUUCCAUUGAGUGAUUCGGAACCCGAGAUUGUUGGAUUUCGUAAAGUGGUCUGAAAUCCCAUUAUUUGGAGAAGUAGGCUUGGCCUAACUGGGUCACUCUAGCCUUAGUUUUAUAUAUAUUUGUGUCAAUGGUUUCGAGAAUCUUGUGAAUUGAGUUAGAAAAGAUGUUGGGCGUCUGGGUAACUCAUUCAGAGUUUGCAGCGACUUGAUUAUGAUUUCAUAAAGCAUGAUUCUAUACUCGAUGUUUAUAGAUUGUGAUCGAUGAUCUGUUUUUACUAAAUAUCACAUACUUGUAUUAUUGUCACUCACCCGAGCCUCGCAGUUUAUCUAAGUGUCUGAUUGGCCCGAUGUACCAUUUCCAUGAUGUAAGCAUUGAUUUUACAUGUGACAGAUCUGGGUAGAUUACUAGAACCGCUUGAUAUUUGGGAUUUCGUUGAGUGGUCUGGAAUCCUUGCUCUUGCUCAUUUCCAUAAAGUUAGUCUAAAACCCUGGAUUUGAGUGAAUGAGAAUUACCCACAACAGACCUUGUUAAUAUAAAUUAGAAUUACCAGGUUAGUACUUGGAAUCCAAGCAGGGAAUUAUGUAGAAUUCCUUUAUUAAAUUUCUUGCACUGAUAUGUGAUCUGGUUGACUGAUUAACAUAAUUAAAUGUUAAUAUUGUGUCUCCUUGAUUCAUGGAUUGGGUUACUUGAGGUGAUUGUGGAAUGAUGUUGAAUAUGAUUGUUAUUAAUAUGAUUAGAUCAGUGAUCAAUGCGAUUAGAGGAUACUAUUGUGCUUUGUCGAUUCUUUGAUAUAUUACAUGCUAUGAAUUGUGAUUUUAUGUUGUUGAUGCACAAAACCGGAUGUCUUGGUACAACGUAAAUCCGACCGUGAAUCUACAUAAAAUGUAAAUGACACAAGAUGUAUCGUGGUUCACCCCAAGGUUUGGGCUACGUCCACACUGAUUGUAUUAUAUUUCUCUGAGAAGUGAGGGAGAGAGAGAGCUCUAAGAGAGGGUGAGAGAGGCUUCAGAAAUGGCAUCUGAGGGUGAGAAUGAGCCUCCCCUAAUUGUGAGGAUGAAGAGUCCUUUUAUAGAAUAAAGACUCCUCACUUAUUACAUAUUUGCCCUUUCCCUUAUUGCAUAAUUACAUUUGAGUCCCCCGAGUAUUUAUACGAGGUCUAAAUACGGAGGCCCUAAAUAUGGUAUAAACAGUAGUCCCCCAAGUCUUCAGUCAAGAGAGUCUUUUGGCUGGAGACUUCAAAUCCAAUCCAUGUACGGGCCGAAGUGGCUAGAUGUCUUGAACCAGUACUCAACCUUAGGCAAUGCUCAACAUAAAGCAAUACUCGGCUAGAGGUAUCACACGUUACGAGACUGCUCGGCUGGAGACUUCAAAUCCAAUCCAUGUACGAGCCGAAGUGGCUAGAUGUCUUGAACCAGUACUCAACCUAAGGCAAUGCUCAACAUAAAGCAAUACUCGGCUAGAGGUAUCACACGUUACGAGACUGCUCGGCUGGAGGCUAUGCUCGUUGCGAGGCUGCUCGGCUAGAGGCUAUGCUCGCGACGAGGCGUUUGCUCGGCUGGAGGCGAUGCUCGUUGCGGGGCGGCUCGGCUAGAGGCUAUGCUCGCUGCGAGGCGGCUCGGCUCGUGGUAUUCCUCAUUGCAAGUAUCUAUUUUAUGUCAACAUGCACUCAGUAUGAGUUGAUUCUCGACAUGACUCGGGUCC
RNAcentral lists this long non-coding RNA (1910 nucleotides) under Malus domestica (apple). RNAcentral's name for it is "long non-coding RNA (MDOM_LNC006554)". The record is from RNAcentral. Lineage: Eukaryota; Viridiplantae; Streptophyta; Magnoliopsida; Rosales; Rosaceae.